UCCAAAGGGAUCGCAUUGAUCUGAUUUCUGCUGAUUCGUCUCAAUGAUCGUUAAUCAUCAUUUUUGUUCAUUGGAUCAUGCGAUCCCUUAGGA
RNAcentral lists this microRNA precursor (93 nucleotides) under Manihot esculenta (cassava). RNAcentral's name for it is "partial precursor microRNA 393". It matches the Rfam family "mir-393 microRNA precursor family", at positions 11 to 117 of the family's 126-position model. The record is from RNAcentral. Lineage: Eukaryota; Viridiplantae; Streptophyta; Magnoliopsida; Malpighiales; Euphorbiaceae.